Small nucleolar RNA from Hippoglossus stenolepis (Pacific halibut), 65 nucleotides. RefSeq annotates it as small nucleolar RNA SNORD58. The record is from RefSeq and is a predicted model, not a curated record. The transcript has a single exon. Lineage: Eukaryota; Metazoa; Chordata; Actinopteri; Pleuronectiformes; Pleuronectidae.
UUGCGAUGAUGACACUAGGACACCUUUGUAUGAACCAUGAAACAACUUGAGAAUAUCUGAGCAAU